AUUGAACGCUGGCGGCAUGCCUUACACAUGCAAGUCGAACGGCAGCACGGGAGCAAUCCUGGUGGCGAGUGGCGAACGGGUGAGUAAUAUAUCGGAACGUGCCCAGUCGUGGGGAUGACGUAGCGAAAGCUACGCUAAUACCGCAUACUAUCUAUGGAUGAAAGCGGGGGAUCGCAAGACCUCGCGCGAUUGGAGCGGCCGAUAUCAGAUUAGGUAGUUGGUGAGGUAAAGGCUCACCAAGCCGACGAUCUGUAGCUGGUCUGAGAGGACGACCAGCCACACUGGGACUGAGACACGGCCCAGACUCCUACGGGAGGCAGCAGUGGGGAAUUUUUGGACAAAUGGGCGCAAGCCUGAUCCAGCAAUGCCGCGUGUGUGAAG
This 381-nucleotide ribosomal RNA is filed under the name uncultured bacterium. RNAcentral's name for it is "bacterial SSU rRNA". It matches the Rfam family "Bacterial small subunit ribosomal RNA", at positions 30 to 410 of the family's 1533-position model. The record is from RNAcentral.